UAGGCGUUCUCUGGAAUAAUAUAGAUCGUCUUUAUAUAAGAGACGUUCUGUAUGUUAAUAAUUAUUUUUUUUUAGAUGAUAUAGAACGGUCAUCUUGAUAACCGUUUUAUAUUGUAUUAAUUUUUUUUUUAAAUUAAGAUGAAAUUAUACACGCGAUUUACCCAAAUUAUCAAAGGCGGCUAAAAGGGAAAAGUGAAGCGCGCUUCUCUUUCACUUUUCAUUAGAAUACUGAAUUAAAAAAUAAAUUUACCCAAACCUCUUUCUAGACUCAUUCAUCAGAAAAAAAAAGUACGAAACCUCCAUUAAACCUCCAUAUCAAAACCUUCAUCAGCCACUCCCGCUUACAGUGCCGCUCCACCGCCGCAGCAUCGCACCAGUAAAUUAAGGGCAAUGAUCAAUUUUAGCGCGGAACAUUGAAAGGAUAUCACAAAAAUAAAGAAGAAACCUUACAUUAAAUGGAUAAGCAUAGAGUGUCCUCGUCAAGCUAAUGGCUCUAGUGAUAGUGGAUAUUACGUUUGUCGCUACAUGAUUGAGACAAUUGAAUCUAGGCAAAUGAUCAUCCCCGAUAAGUAUUUUAAGCAAGUUCCUCAUACAUAUUCUCAACAAAUGAUUGACGAGCUUAGGGAAAGGUGGAUUUCAUAUGUUACCGGAUACCAUCAACCAAUUGACGACGACGAUGAUUUAUGUGUAUUGUAGAUCUAUAUGGUAUUGGUAUAUUUUGGGCAUCAAUUUUUUUUUUAAAUCACAUUAAAUAGAAAGGUUUUUGUUAUUUAACUCACGUAUUUGUUUGUAUAGAACAAAUUUUGUAUGAAUGAUUCAAUUUAAUUGUGGUUGGAUGUUUUAAAUUAUAUAUAUGAAGUAUAUUUUGAUGGCUUUCGU
Molecule: long non-coding RNA, 879 nt
Organism: Chenopodium quinoa (quinoa)
Lineage: Eukaryota; Viridiplantae; Streptophyta; Magnoliopsida; Caryophyllales; Amaranthaceae
Exons: 4
Source: RefSeq, a predicted model, not a curated record